Dermacentor albipictus is the source of this 530-nucleotide non-coding RNA. Lineage: Eukaryota; Metazoa; Arthropoda; Arachnida; Ixodida; Ixodidae. The record is from RefSeq and is a predicted model, not a curated record.
CAAGCCUUCGGAGUGCUCGCGCGCGCGCGUUGAAAGUUCAGCCAUUGGUCAGCGGCUGCACAUUCUUCUACCGUGGUGGAUGUUUCACACUGCUUUGAACCCUCAAGACUCCACGAUUACUGGAUACGCCGUCACUUGAACCUCGGCGGCCGGAGCAGGACUGUGGUUGCGGCCGUUUCGUUGCCAGCUGUGAGGAUGAAGCAGCUUCAUAACCGGAGAUCAGUCGCCUCCCAUCAGUUUCCCUUUUCAGCAAUAGAGGUCUUGGGUGCCUUUCUACCGGUGUUGCAUCCUGUGACUGACCACUCCAACGAUCUUGGCAGAAUCGUUACGCAGGAAGAAGUCCGGCUGGCCCCAAGCCUGGUGUGAAAUGAAGAAAUGGCACUCCACAUCAAUUCAUGUUUACUUGUCGUCAUAACCAGUCUGUUAGCUUAAUUUUUGGUUCUUCCUAUUGAAUUCUCAAGAAAGGUACCAACUCUGUCAUUCAUUGAAAACGAAUUUUUGCACUUGGGGACGCAGCCAUGCACAAAGCC